Molecule: ribosomal RNA, 468 nt
Filed under: uncultured bacterium
Lineage: Bacteria
Description: partial 16S ribosomal RNA
Rfam family: Bacterial small subunit ribosomal RNA
Source: RNAcentral
GACGAACGCUGGCGGCGUGCUUAACACAUGCGAGUCGAACGGAAAGGCCCUGCUUUUGUGGGGUGCUCGAGUGGCGAACGGGUGAGUAACACGUGAGUAACCUGCCCUUGACUUUGGGAUAACUUCAGGAAACUGGGGCUAAUACCGGAUAGGAGCUCCUGCUGCAUGGUGGGGGUUGGAAAGUUUCGGCGGUUGGGGAUGGACUCGCGGCUUAUCAGCUUGUUGGUGGGGUAGUGGCUUACCAAGGCUUUGACGGGUAGCCGGCCUGAGAGGGUGACCGGCCAAAUUGGGAAUGAGAUACGGCCCAGACUCCUCCGGGAGGCAGCAGUGGGGAAUAUUGCACAAUGGGCGGAAGCCUGAUGCAGGAACGCCGCGUGGGGGAUGACGGCCUUCGGGUUGUAAACCGCUUUCGCCUGUGACGAAGCGUGAGUGACGGUAAUGGGUAAAGAAGCACCGGCUAACUACGUG